This is a long non-coding RNA of Chelonia mydas (Green sea turtle), 2165 nucleotides long. RefSeq lists it as uncharacterized. NCBI's taxonomy places the organism in Eukaryota, Metazoa, Chordata, Testudines, Cheloniidae. The transcript is spliced from 3 exons. The record is from RefSeq and is a predicted model, not a curated record.
AGGCAGCCGUGGCUCCCUGCUCCCGAGGCACGCGCGCCCCCUGGAGGCCACGAGACCCCCCCGCCACGCUCCCCUCUUUCUGCUAGGAGCCUCGCGCCCCCUGGUGGCGCAAACUCCCUUAGAGCUUUCGGUUAGUCGCAGGCCGAAGGGAGGGAGCUCGCUGGCUGCGCCCGGCACAUGGGGGGCAGGGGAGGAGCCGAGUCUGUGCUGUGUUAGUGGCCGUUUGUGGAGCGGAGGAAGGUUUUCCCCUUUCAACACAUGUAAAAAAUAAAGUAUGCUGUGAACAGAUAUAUACAGUAAAUUGCUGCUAACCAGAAUCCUCGGAGACUAAAUCCUGGAGCACCUUAAAUGAGCCAGAUUGACGUGGUUGACUGGGCCCUUCCGGAUUGUCAUGCAGCAUCCUGUACACAUCAGAUUGAGGUACAGAGGUUGGUACUGGUUCACUGCAACAUGAACAAGGGAUGAGCAGAAAUCCUAUUGAGAGAGGACUGUAGGAGUUGGCCUUAUAUCCUGAAGAGAGAUUUACAACUGAGAUGGUGUUAUUACUGUAUUUAAUAAAGGAUAAUAUGAAUGUAACCUGUUUUGGGUUGUAAUCCGCAACAGUUGCUUUAGGAAUUUUCAACAUAAUAAAUUAAAAUUUCUCUUUUGGCAAACGUGACUUUAGGUACCAAAUAAGCAGAAUUUGCUUAAUGUAUAUGUUCAGUCCAGAGGGUAAAAAACUAACUGGCAACCACUGCUGUUGCGACUACUUUGCAAUUGCAAAGCACCAUUCAUCUGAGGCUAAUAAAUAAUACUUGCGAUUUGAAGUAUACAGAACUUUCCAUUGUUAAAGCACUUUACAAAUAUUAACUAAUGAAGACCACAAAGCUUGAUCACUUUUCUUAUCAAAUUAAUUUUUGCAUCUAAUUUCCCAUCUGCAAUCCUGAAAAAUGGUCAUUUGUUUAAAUAUGUUCACUGAAAAUGACAAGUAUCUUUUACAAAGCAUAUUUAAAAAAUGAAUUUUCAGAACAUAUAUUAUGAAACAAUCCUAAAUAUUCAAGAUUAUAUAGAAUGAGAGUGCUUACUAUAAGAAUAAAUACAAAAAUAUAUGACCUCUUAUAGACAGUCCCAACAUUCAUCUAAAAGAGAAAAAGGUGAUAUUAAUAUAGUUGAACCUUGUAAAUUCUCACUGUGAUGGUCUACAAGUCCAAACAUUGUCACAAAAAACAGUUUCACACCACUUCUCUGCAAAGAUUUAACAACGGUGUGCUAUAGUGGGGUCACACGUAGAUUGUGACCUGUCCUUUGUGCCAACACAAGGAAGUAAGGGGGCAUCAGGUACACUCUGACUCCUCUGUGCCUGUGCUCUAUACUGGCAGUUCUUGUGCAUGGGAGGAGCAGGCCACAUAGAGUAGAGCUAUUGCAUCCCCACUUCCUGCAGGUGAGUAGGAAAGGGUGGAAUGCACAGGGAGUGGGUGGACUGCAGACUGCAGUUAAGCUGGCACAUUGGGAAGCAUACUCUACAACAGAUCUAGACCUAGUGCAGUUUACUUCUUCUCAACAGCUGUAGGGAGACUGAGGGAGAGAGAGAGAGAUUCCCAAAAUCUCCCAUCUAGGGCACCCCAGAGGGCAGUGCAACAAUGUGCUGUCCCUUGCAAUGCACUAGAUCAUAAUCUGAUGACCUAUCCCUAAAACACUAAACUUUUCAUGGUAUGGAUCUUGUCAUUUGUAUGUGUCUGUGAGAUGUGUAACAGCUGUAGAAAUAAUAACUAAGAAUAUACAUAAUUAAAACUAAACUUCAUUUGUCAAAACAAAUGAACAACAUCCUUAAUCUUUUUUAUUGUACCGGUUCACUAACUGGACAGUUCACAAAAUUUGAUAAUCUGCAUGUGUCUGGCCAUCAUGAAUAGGAUGUCAAUGAGGUUCAUGCCAACUGCUUUGACUUCUCAGACUGCUGUAUCAGACUUGAGUUGCUUGAAUUAUGACACAAAUAUUUUUUUACUUUGAAAAUAAAGUACAGAACUGAAGCCACUGGUAGUAACAAAACCCCUGUACUGGAAGGCAGUGUCCAUAGAAAUUUGCCCACUCAAGCCUGUGAGGCCUCCUAGCCUAUGUAGCCACAGAGGCUGCCUUUGAUUCUAGAAGGAUACUUUUCCUUCUGUUGUGAUCAAGUAAUAUUGUUUCAG